This 647-nucleotide long non-coding RNA is filed under the name Cavia porcellus (domestic guinea pig). RNAcentral's name for it is "lncRNA (ENSCPOG00000033076.1)". Lineage: Eukaryota; Metazoa; Chordata; Mammalia; Rodentia; Caviidae. The record is from RNAcentral.
GCCGCUCGGCGUGUGCGCGGGGGUGCGCGGCUGCCGCAGCGUGCGCGCGUGUGCCAGGGGCCCUGCGGCUGUCACUACGCUGAUGGCCACCGGCUGCGCAGGCCUCAGGAUCGCCGGCUUGGGGCUGAAGACGUCCUGCCCUGUGUCAGACCUCUGAGGUCAAGCAGAGGCCCUGUGAACAGUGGGCGCUGUGCGAUGGAGUGGCCCUGGCUCUGAGCCGCUGGAGGCCUGAAAAGAGCGAGGCAAAAGGACUGGCAGCUCCGGGCUUUGGGAUGAAGUCAGGUGGACAGAGAGGCACCCAGGAGACCAUCCCCAGCCAGACUUCCAUAGGAGCAGAAGCUUAUCUUCAGAUAAAUUCUCAGGUGAAUCCCUGAUGCAUACGGCAGAUACAAGGGCCAGUUUGUUGUCAUAAAUCAUAAUCAUAUGUAUGACUCUUACUUCUAAUAAAGUACACAAGUGUUUUCCACCAGCUGCAACAGUCUGCCACGUGGUAGGCAUUCAAUAAAGAGGUACUGGAUGAGCAGGCAGUCAGUUGUGGGAAAGGCUAUUUUGAUGAACACAAAUCCAAGAAAUGGGAUUGUGUAUGACAGCCUGAAAUUCUAAGCCUAUAUAUUUGUACGGGGCUGUGUGGAGAACAGUUUGAAAAU